GCCACGUGAGAGAGGGAGAGAUAGAGAACUCAAGGAGAAAAAGGAAGGAAGAGCUUGAGAAUGAAGAGGAAAGAUGGGGAAAUUGAUGGAUUUACUUCAAGAGAUUGGCUCUAGGUCAAGACGAGGACAUCGUUCCACCGCUAUCAGAGACCUACCGCUGUAAUUACUUUGGGAGUCCAUCUUAACCCUUGACGCUCACCCUUCAAUUGUCAACCUCAGUAUGCCCAGACUCCCAGGCCAAGCCCAUGCAUUUAUGUGAAGUUUUGUUAAGAUUUUGGCUUGCGCUUU
This is a non-coding RNA of Camellia sinensis, 288 nucleotides long. The record is from RefSeq and is a predicted model, not a curated record. Lineage: Eukaryota; Viridiplantae; Streptophyta; Magnoliopsida; Ericales; Theaceae.